RNAcentral lists this ribosomal RNA (467 nucleotides) under uncultured bacterium. RNAcentral describes it as "partial 16S ribosomal RNA". It matches the Rfam family "Bacterial small subunit ribosomal RNA", at positions 29 to 507 of the family's 1533-position model. The record is from RNAcentral.
ACGCACGCUGGCGGCGUGCUUAACCCAUGCCAGUCGAACGGAAAGGCCCUGCUUUUGUGGGGUGCUCGAGUGGCGAACGGGUGAGUAACACGUGAGUAACCUGCCCUUGACUUUGGGAUAACUUCAGGAAACUGGGGCUAAUACCGGAUAGGAGCUCCUGCUGCAUGGUGGGGGUUGGAAAGUUUCGGCGGUUGGGGAUGGACUCGCGGCUUAUCAGCUUGUUGGUGGGGUAGUGGCUUACCAAGGCUUUGACGGGUAGCCGGCCUGAGAGGGUGACCGGCCACAUUGGGACUGAGAUACGGCCCAGACUACUACGGGAGGCAGCAGUGGGGAAUAUUGCACAAUGGGCGGAAGCCUGAUGCAGCAACGCCGCGUGCGGGACGACGGCCUUCGGGUUGUAAACCGCUUUCGCCUGUGACGAAGCGUGAGUGACGGUAAUGGGUAAAGAAGCACCGGCUAACUACGUG